RNAcentral lists this ribosomal RNA (501 nucleotides) under uncultured bacterium. Its description in RNAcentral is "partial 16S ribosomal RNA". It matches the Rfam family "Bacterial small subunit ribosomal RNA", at positions 30 to 523 of the family's 1533-position model. The record is from RNAcentral.
AUUGAACGCUGGCGGCAGGCUUAACACAUGCAAGUCGAGCGGAGAUGAGGUGCUUGCACCUUAUCUUAGCGGCGGACGGGUGAGUAAUGCUUAGGAAUCUGCCUAUUAGUGGGGGACAACACUCCGAAAGGAAUGCUAAUACCGCAUACGCCCUACGGGGGAAAGCAGGGGAUCUUCGGACCAUGCGCUAAUAGAUGAGCCUAAGUCGGAUUAGCUAGUUGGUGGGGUAAAGGCCUACCAAGGCGACGAUCUGUAGCGGGUCUGAGAGGAUGAUCCGCCACACUGGGACUGAGACACGGCCCAGACUCCUACGGGAGGCAGCAGUGGGGAAUAUUGGACAAUGGGCGGAAGCCUGAUCCAGCCAUGCCGCGUGUGUGAAGAAGGCCUUUUGGUUGUAAAGCACUUUAAGCGAGGAGGAGGCUACCUGGAUUAAUACUCUAGGAUAGUGGACGUUACUCGCAGAAUGAGCACCGGCUAACUCUGUGCCAGCCGCCGCCGUAA